GAUGAACGCUGGCGGCGUGCCUAAUACAUGCAAGUCGAACGAAACUUCUUUAUCACCGAGUGCUUGCACUCACCGAUAAAGAGUUGAGUGGCGAACGGGUGAGUAACACGUGGGCAACCUGCCCAAAAGAGGGGGAUAACACUUGGAAACAGGUGCUAAUACCGCAUAACCAUAGUUACCGCAUGGUAACUAUGUAAAAGGUGGCUAUACUACCGCUUUUGGAUGGGCCCGCGGCGCAUUAGCUAGUUGGUAGGGUAAAGGCUUACCAAGGCAAUGAUGCGUAGCCGAAUUGAGAGGUUGAUCGGCCACAUUGGGACUGAGACACGGCCCAAACUCCUACGGGAGGCAGCAGUAGGGAAUCUUCCACAAUGGGCGAAAGCCUGAUGGAGCAACGCCGCGUGGGUGAAGAAGGUCGUCGGAUCGUAAAACCCUGUUGUUAGAGAAGAAAGUGCGUGAGAGUAACUGUUCACGUUUCGACGGUAUCUAACCAGAAAGCCACGGCUAACUACGUGC
This 513-nucleotide ribosomal RNA is filed under the name uncultured bacterium. Its description in RNAcentral is "partial 16S ribosomal RNA". It matches the Rfam family "Bacterial small subunit ribosomal RNA", at positions 28 to 508 of the family's 1533-position model. The record is from RNAcentral.